CGUGCGGCAGCUACACAUGCAGUCGAGCGGUAGCACAGAAGAGCUUGCUCUUUGGGUGACGAGCGGCGGACGGGUGAGUAAUGUCUGGGAAACUGCCUGAUGGAGGGGGAUAACUACUGGAAACGGUAGCUAAUACCGCAUAACCUCGCAAGAGCAAAGAGGGGGACCUUCGGGCCUCUCGCCAUCAGAUGUGCCCAGAUGGGAUUAGCUAGUAGGUGAGGUAAUGGCUCACCUAGGCGACGAUCCCUAGCUGGUCUGAGAGGAUGACCAGCCACACUGGAACUGAGACACGGUCCAGACUCCUACGGGAGGCAGCAGUGGGGAAUAUUGCACAAUGGGCGCAAGCCUGAUGCAGCCAUGCCGCGUGUGUGAAGAAGGCCUUCGGGUUGUAAAGCACUUUCAGCGGGGAGGAAGGCGGUGAGGUUAAUAACCUUAUCGAUUGACGUUACCCGCAGAAGAAGCACCGGCUAACUCCGUGCCAGCAGCCGCGGUAAUACGGAGGGUGCAAGCGUUAAUCGGAAUGACUGGGCGUAAAGCGCACGCAGGCGGUCUGUUAAGUUGGAUGUGAAAUCCCCGGGCUUAACCUGGGAACUGCAUUCAAAACUGACAGGCUAGAGUCUUGUAGAGGGGGGUAGAAUUCCAGGUGUAGCGGUGAAAUGCGUAGAGAUCUGGAGGAAUACCGGUGGCGAAGGCGGCCCCCUGGACAAAGACUGACGCUCAGGUGCGAAAGCGUGGGGGAGCAAACAGGAUUAGAUACCCUGGUAGUCCACGCUGUAAACGAUGUCGAUUUGGAGGUUGUGCCCUUGAGGCGUGGCUUCCGGAGCUAACGCGUUAAAUCGACCGCCUGGGGAGUACGGCCGCAAGGUUAAAACUCAAAUGAAUUGACGGGGGCCCGCACAAGCGGUGGAGCAUGUGGUUUAAUUCGAUGCAACGCGAAGAACCUUACCUACUCUUGACAUCCAGAGAACUUAGCAGAGAUGCUUUGGUGCCUUCGGGAACUCUGAGACAGGUGCUGCAUGGCUGUCGUCAGCUCGUGUUGUGAAAUGUUGGGUUAAGUCCCGCAACGAGCGCAACCCUUAUCCUUUGUUGCCAGCGAUUCGGUCGGGAACUCAAAGGAGACUGCCGGUGAUAAACCGGAGGAAGGUGGGGAUGACGUCAAGUCAUCAUGGCCCUUACGAGUAGGGCUACACACGUGCUACAAUGGCGUAUACAAAGAGAAGCGACCUCGCGAGAGCAAGCGGACCUCAUAAAGUACGUCGUAGUCCGGAUUGGAGUCUGCAACUCGACUCCAUGAAGUCGGAAUCGCUAGUAAUCGUAGAUCAGAAUGCUACGGUGAAUACGUUCCCGGGCCUUGUACACACCGCCCGUCACACCAUGGGAGUGGGUUGCAAAAGAAGUAGGUAGCUUAACCUUCGGGAGGGCGCUACCACUUGAUC
Molecule: ribosomal RNA, 1436 nt
Filed under: Pectobacterium brasiliense
Lineage: Bacteria; Pseudomonadati; Pseudomonadota; Gammaproteobacteria; Enterobacterales; Pectobacteriaceae
Description: bacterial SSU rRNA
Rfam family: Bacterial small subunit ribosomal RNA
Source: RNAcentral